Anas platyrhynchos (mallard) is the source of this 3395-nucleotide non-coding RNA. NCBI's taxonomy places the organism in Eukaryota, Metazoa, Chordata, Aves, Anseriformes, Anatidae. The record is from RefSeq and is a predicted model, not a curated record.
CUCUUGCUGCACUAUAGGAAACAGAGGCUUCCCCAUAGUUUUUUAUUGAUGUGGGGCACAAACCAGCUGAAAACCUCCCACCUGGAGGUCAGAGGAUGGAAAGGGUUGGGGUGGAAGGGAAGGGAUGGAGCCCGGCUGCUCCAGCCACUUGUUUUGUCCCUUUUCUGCUUGGUUUCUGCUGCUGGGAAUCCAACGCAUUUCCUGUAAUUGCACAGCUCAGUGCCUGAAGCAUUCAGCCGGGAACCCCAGGGUGAUUUCUGCUGUCUGUGGGCUAGGAUGAAUCUUAAGCUGUACCAGGCAGCUUCCUAAAGCUGUCAGAGUCUUGGCUCAAGCUCUGGGUAAAUGCUCACACCUAAGGAGGCUGUAUUAAGGGCUUUGUCUCAGCACCCACCCCUUCCAGCUCAGAUUCGUCCUUGCAGCCCUGGCUGCUGGAACCAAGAUACAUCAAGAUAGCAAGGGAGGAUGCUUGAUGUCAGCGCAGCUAUUGCACUUGCGGAGGGGGAGUUUCCUGAAGCCAGCACUUUGAGGAAAGGAUGAAUUUGAAACCUUUUGGAGGAGAUGAAAAGUAGAAAAAGAAAAUCAAUGCAAGGAAAGUGCAGUGUUGCAGUCAUCUGGAAUAAAUGUACACCUCCAGGACUCACUUCACCUCACCUUAGGGAGACAUCAACAUCAAUUGUGUUGAGCCAGGUCUUCUGGUACAUGUUUCUGCACAGUGACAGCAAGGGUAUCUUCUGUGGUUGGCUUGGCUGACGCCAUCUGCACUCCAGCUAUGUGAAUUUGGAGUUCCAGUUAUUUUCUCAACACUGAAUACCACAGGGUGCGGGAAGAGGAUUGCACGGGCUGCACUGAAGAAACAAGCUCAGAGGCAGAUAAUGAAGCACGUCUGUAUGCAGGGGGCACAGCUUGACAUACAGAAAUACUGACAGUAGGAAGAAAUCAGGAUUUAAGGCACUUUCAGCUUGUGCAGGAGACCUUGCGGGUAACUUGUAUCUGGUUGCCCUUGCUGUACUUGCACCGGUCUGCAACCAAACCCUUCUGGCAGCAGUACCAACCAGAUGUCUUCUGCACCUAGCUCUGCCUCGAUGUCUCCUUCCUAGAGUGGAUGCUGUACUGCAGAUACCCAGCCUGGAAAGGAACAAGGGCAAGGAGCUACCCGUGUCAGAAAAUAACAGGGGCACAGCAAGCACUCCCCAAGGAAGGAAAAAAAAACUCAUUGGCAUCUUAUGUAUGUUAUUUGGAGCUGCUUUCUGCUGCAGCUGCUACCCACAAAGCACCAACCCCUUGAUAAUCCCUGUCUGCAGCCACAUUUAUUCAGUAGCAGUGAAGGAGAAAGCUCAGGAGAGGGAAAAAAAAUAUUUUUCCUGCCCCACAGUUAGAAGUGAUUUUGAUUAAUCUCCUCGUCCAACAGCUUUGGAGGAAAUUACAGCCAGGGAAUCAAAUGGAGAAGCAGGGGGAACCAUAGCCUGGUUUGCAUCAAUCCAUGAAGACUCCAUGAAAAGAUUUUAAGUGAGGGAAACUGAGGAAUGGGGGAGGUUGAGGCAGAGAGAGGGAGGGAGGAGUGGAGGGAGAGAUGGACCUUGGGGAACUGUUGCAGACAUGCAAUAAGAAGACCAGGAAUCAUGGAAAGUGUUUUGAGAGGAUAUGAAAGAUAUGACAGUGUGUGACUGGAGGUACACGGGGUGGUGCUGGUGGAGAGUAUGGGGACUAUGAUCAUGAAGACCUUGCAGGUGCAGAAAUUUUCAAUUCAGCUGCAGAGAAAAAAGUCAAAGAUGAUAUUGAGAUGGAUGCAUGCAUUGCCAUCUCUGUUAGUCUUUAAUACCUCUGUUGCUACCUUUUCUCUUUUUGUACCACCUGUAUAAGGUCUGGGCAAUUCUGGAGGUUGUUAAAGGACAUUAAGGGCAAAUUAAAAUUCCUGCAUACAAGUCCCAAGAUCUAAGUUACUGAAAGGGGCAAGACCCUUCACAGUGCUUGUGACUCUGCAGGCCCUGAGCACUGGAAGCAGCAUCUCAGCUCCACUGUAGGGUUAUGAAGAUGGUUUUCCACCAGCAAGGCUGGCAGAUGGCUCAUCCUCUGUGAAGAUGUGAUUUGUGCAGUCAGUAUGAAUUGCCCAUUCCAGCAGAGCAGCCAACAGUUUUUAGAAAUUAUGCUUAAAUAAGCAAAAUAUCUCAAAAUAGGUGCAAAAAGUGUGUUUUAGGACAGCUUCUUAGGAUUAUUCUCUGGGUAGUGUAUUCUCUAAGCUACAGAUGUGGAACGGCAGCUGUGUGUUUUUUUAAGGAGCAGCCAGCCCCUGUCUCUUGGAAGGACUGACCCUGCCACUUGCCAUCUGCAGUUCCUGAAGCCAUUUUGUUUGGUCACGACUCUGCUAACCAAACCUGUCCUUUGGUAUUUGCUUUGGGGAAUUUCUGAGAUGCUUCUGCCACCUUUUAUCCUCAUGCCAAAGUUUCGGUACAAGAGGGCUUAGGAUAAACCAAUAGCAUGGACAAUCACCAUCAGGAUUUACGUAAACCUUUUCAAAGAGCUCAAAUACAAAAUUACCCGCAUUGUGUAACAUAGCCUCUUAAACCAAUCUCCCCAGCACAAGAACAAGGCAGGGAAAUGUAAGCCUAAUUGUUUGCAAGGGCUGCAAGUAAUUCCAAGGACCCAGGGAUAAUCCAGCUCUUUGAAUUAAGUUUGCCAAGAGGCAGAGCAAACAAAGAGAUACAGGGCUGCAUGGAGCUGCUCCAGGCAGGGAAUAAAAGAAAUGCAGGAACUGUUUGAAAAGCCACACCCAAACCAAACAGGUUUGCAAACAAGCACAGUCAGAGGAGGUGAAGGGGUCUCUGGAGGCGCUUCAAACAUUCAAAAUAAGAUUUUCCUUCAUGUCUCCGCAAGCUGCUUGGACUCUGACAACACCUCGGUGCUGCAAUUCACUUUGUUGCCUUCUUGGGAGGUGGGGAACGGCUUGGUUUGGAGCAACUGGUGUACAUGGGGACACGAUGACGUAGUGACACGGACUUCCUUGUGGCUUAUCCCAGUGGGGACCAUUGUGUUCACCAGCCUGGAGGACUGCAUUUAUAAGCACCUGAGCAUUAGACAUGUCAAUUUCUUUAUGCAUCCCUUUAUGUUCAGAGGGGAAGGGCAGAGUGUCAUGUCUCAAAGCAGCAGGCAUUUGAUGUUCCUCAUAAUCCCAUCCGGAUAUGCUGCUGCUCAGGAUCACUUAUCACUGGACCACCACUAGGUGCCUCCAGAGGAGACCCAGAAGCCUGCCUUACGCUGAGACAGAUCACCCUUCUGCAGUCUACAUCUAAUUAACAAGUCAUUAGGUACCCAGAGAGGGUAGUGCAUUACCACUGCAUCGCCUUUAGGUGAGAUCUGUGAAAAAAAUAAAUCUCUUUUCCUUUCAGUUCCAAACCUGA